AUUGAACGCUGGCGGCAGGCCUAACACAUGCAAGUCGAGCGGAUGAAGGGAGCUUGCUUCUGGAUUCAGCGGCGGACGGGUGAGUAAUGCCUGGGAACCUCCCUGGUAGUGGUGGAUAAGGGCCGAAAAUGGGGGCUAAUACCGCAUACGUCCUGAGGGAGAAAGGGUGGGAUCUUCGGACCUUCCGCUAUUAGAUGAGUCUAGGUCGGAUUAGCUAGUUGGUGGGGUAAAGGCCUACCAAGGCGACGAUCCGUAACUGGUCUGAGAGGAUGAUCAGUCACACUGGAACUGAGACACGGUCCAGACUCCUACGGGAGGCAGCAGUGGGGAAUAUUGGACAAAGGGCGAAAGCCUGAUCCAGCCAUGCCGCGUGUGUGAAGAAGGUCUUCGGAUUGUAAAGCACUUUUAGUUGGGAGGAAGAGCAGUAAGUUAAUACCUUGCUGUUUUGACGGUACCAACAGAAUAAGCACCGGCUAACUUCGUG
This 484-nucleotide ribosomal RNA is filed under the name uncultured bacterium. RNAcentral describes it as "partial 16S ribosomal RNA". It matches the Rfam family "Bacterial small subunit ribosomal RNA", at positions 30 to 507 of the family's 1533-position model. The record is from RNAcentral.